UAUCCAGACUCCUACGGGAGGCAGCAGUGGGGAAUAUUGCACAAUGGGGGAAACCCUGAUGCAGCGACGCCGCGUGAAGGAAGAAGUCUUUCGGUAUGUAAACUUCUAUCAGCAGGGAAGAAAAUGACGGUACCUGACUAAGAAGCCCCGGCUAACUACGUGCCAGCAGCCGCGGUAAUACGUAGGGGGCAAGCGUUAUCCGGAUUUACUGGGUGUAAAGGGGGCGCAGACGGCAGCGCAAGCCAGGAGUGAAAGCCCGGGGCCCAACCCCGGGACUGCUCUUGGAACUGCGCGGCUGGAGUGCAGGAGGGGCAGGCGGAAUUCCUGGUGUAGCGGUGAAAUGCGUAGAUAUCAGGAGGAACACCGGCGGCGAAGGCGGCCUGCUGGACUGCGACUGACGUUGAGGCCCGAAAGCGUGGGGAGCAAACAGGAUUAGAUACCCCGGUAC
Molecule: ribosomal RNA, 448 nt
Filed under: uncultured bacterium
Lineage: Bacteria
Description: partial 16S ribosomal RNA
Rfam family: Bacterial small subunit ribosomal RNA
Source: RNAcentral